GAUGAACGCUGGCGGCGUGCCUAAUACAUGCAAGUCGAGCGAACGGACGAGAAGCUUGCUUUUCUGAUGUUAGCGGCGGACGGGUGAGUAACACGUGGAUAACCUACCUAUAAGACUGGGAUAACUUCGGGAAACCGGAGCUAAUACCGGAUAAUAUUUUGAACCGCAUGGUUCAAAAGUGAAAGACGGUCUUGCUGUCACUUAUAGAUGGAUCCGCGCUGCAUUGGCUAGUUGGUAAGGUAACGGCUUACCAAGGCAACGAUGCAUAGCCGACCUGAGAGGGUGAUCGGCCACACUGGAACUGAGACACGGUCCAGACUCCUACGGGAGGCAGCAGUAGGGAAUCUUCCGCAAUGGGCGAAAGCCUGACGGAGCAACGCCGCGUAAGUGAUGAAGGUCUUCGGAUCGUAAAACUCUGUUAUUAGGGAAGAACAUAUGUGUAAGUAACUGUGCACAUCUUGACGGUACCUAAUCAGAAAGCCACGGCUAACUACGUG
This 497-nucleotide ribosomal RNA is filed under the name uncultured bacterium. Its description in RNAcentral is "partial 16S ribosomal RNA". It matches the Rfam family "Bacterial small subunit ribosomal RNA", at positions 28 to 507 of the family's 1533-position model. The record is from RNAcentral.